RNAcentral lists this ribosomal RNA (478 nucleotides) under uncultured bacterium. RNAcentral describes it as "partial 16S ribosomal RNA". It matches the Rfam family "Bacterial small subunit ribosomal RNA", at positions 28 to 523 of the family's 1533-position model. The record is from RNAcentral.
GACGAACGCUGGCGGCGUGCUUAACACAUGCAAGUCGAACGGUAAGGCCCUUCGGGGUACACGAGUGGCGAACGGGUGAGUAACACGUGGGUGAUCUGCCCUGCACUUCGGGAUAAGCCUGGGAAACUGGGUCUAAUACCGGAUAGGACUCCGGACUGCAUGGUCUGGGGUGGAAAGCUUUUGCGGUGUGGGAUGGGCCCGCGGCCUAUCAGCUUGUUGGUGGGGGAAUGGCCUACCAAGGCGACGACGGGUAGCCGGCCUGAGAGGGUGACCGGCCACACUGGGACUGAGAUACGGCCCAGACUCCUACGGGAGGCAGCAGUGGGGAAUAUUGCACAAUGGGCGCAAGUCUGAUGCAGCGACGCCGCGUGAGGGAUGACGGCCUUCGGGUUGUAAACCUCUUUCAGUAGGGACGAAGCGCAAGUGACGGUACCUACAGAAGAAGGACCGGCCAACUACGUGCCAGCCGCCGCCGUAA